AAGUUAGAUGUAGUGAUCAAACUACAAUUAGGGUCAAAUUGAUUAGAUUAGACUAGAACCCAUUUUUGAUUUUGAGUAGUUGAUUAAACCUAAUCGAUGGUUGAUUAUAAUUAGAUCAAAGGAGCUCAAAAUUGAGUUUAUUUAUAGUUGAUCGCAUCGAUUCAUAUUUUGAUGUGAGUUGAUUGACUCAAGAUUAAAUUUGGCUCAGUAGUUC
Molecule: long non-coding RNA, 214 nt
Filed under: Elaeis guineensis (African oil palm)
Lineage: Eukaryota; Viridiplantae; Streptophyta; Magnoliopsida; Arecales; Arecaceae
Description: long non-coding RNA (EGUI_LNC058636)
Source: RNAcentral